UGAUUCUAUGGCAGUUUGUAGCCUCCACAUAGAAGCAGCAAAAACAGGAAGUGAUCUCAAUUCCAUAGGCUACUUCAGCUUCUGCCAGAAACCAAUGCCUUAGCCAUAACUAAAAGUGCAGAACUAGCUCUACUUCCUGUGAGUAAUCAAAACAGGAAAUAGACAUAUGAAAUGUGGGUGAUGGUCUCAUCAAAAAUCUCCAAUCUCUUAUGUCAAAGAGAAAUAUUCAGACCACCAACCUACUCUUCUCCUCGUGGGCUGUAGUCUCAUUGAUAAUAGGUGUCUUCAUGAAAGAAUGGGUUGAAUUAGUCCCCAAAAUAAAAAAGGUCAAGAUUAGCCACAGUCCAUGGAUGACAUGCUGCACUACCAUUUGGCCAGAAGAUAGCCUGAAAGUGGUCAGGAUCAUGAUGGUGUUGGUUCUCUGCCUUUCCUUCUUCCUUAACUUGAUCCUGGGUAUGCAAUACACCUAUGUGAUUCCUCAGAACAGAUAUAUACAGCUCAUCAUUGCCUUCAGCUGUUUCCUCACAGGUUGCCUUCUCCUUGGUACCUUAACACUAUAUCAUCACAAGCUAAAUCAAGGUCAGGGCUUGUACUUCUCUAGUUUCAAGAUCACGUGGGUUCCUUUCACUGCCUACUUAACCGCUGUCUUCUUUAUUACCUGCGGUUUUCUCUGUCUACUACAGUGCAAGCAACCCAUCCAUAGUUGUACCUGCCAGAAAAUUCACUCAUCUACUGAACAGUGUAUAGAUAAACAGCUCUGUGGGCAGUCUAUCCAAGUUAUUUCGCUUCCAGAGAGCACUGCAAUGCCGCGGGGCAUUGUCCGUCUAUCCUCCCAGCAAUCAAAGGAAGAUUCUGCGAACAAAGAACAUCUCCAAAAGCGUCAUGUGACCUGGGCUCUAUGACUGGACAAUCUACCUUCCAUGUGUGCCCAUCUUUAUGGACACAGCUUUCUGAGCAUGCGCCUUGCUGUGUGCAUCUCCAGCCAUUUGGUCUGGGUUCGGCAUUAUGGAAGUGACUGUGAGUGGGUUGGAGAUGCAAAGAGAUGUAGAAAGAAAUGCAGAAAACGGCUUUUUUUAAUCCUGGCAUGCUAAACAAAUAUCUUUUUCUACAGUAUUUGUUAUUGAUAUGAUAAAUAUAUAAAUACUACUUGCUGUAUUAUUAAUUCUGUAUAGAAAAAUAUUUAUAAUGGUACAGUAUUUUUUAUUUUUUGUGUAAUAUAUAUUUUCAUUAGCACAUGUUUGUGAUACCUAAUAAUUACACUUAUCUUGGGGAAUAUAUAUAUAUAUAUAUAUAUAUAUAUAUAUAUAUUUCACAUCUUGAUCAUUUUAUUACUCCCACUUUCCAUAGCCACUGCCCUCCCUCUCCCACCUUUCCCAGAUCUUUGCCGUCUCCACCAUCUACCUUCCUAUUUCCUACCAUUUCUUUUUUAUUUUGCUAUUUGAAUUAUUUAUAUUUUGAGUUUCUUAUAUUAGAGGAACUAUGCAA
Molecule: long non-coding RNA, 1485 nt
Filed under: Chinchilla lanigera (long-tailed chinchilla)
Lineage: Eukaryota; Metazoa; Chordata; Mammalia; Rodentia; Chinchillidae
Description: lncRNA (ENSCLAG00000027309.1)
Source: RNAcentral